AUUGAACGCUGGCGGCAGGCCUAACACAUGCAAGUCGAGCGGGGUGAUGGUGCUUGCACUAUCACUUAGCGGCGGACGGGUGAGUAAUGCUUAGGAAUCUGCCUAUUAGUGGGGGACACCAUCUCGAAAGGGAUGCUAAUACCGCAUACGUCCUACGGGAGAAAGCAGGGGAUCACUUGUGACCUUGCGCUAAUAGAUGAGCCUAAGUGGGAUUAGCUAGUUGGUGGGGUAAAGGCCUACCAAGGCGACGAUCUGUAGCGGGUCUGAGAGGAUGAUCCGCCACACUGGGACUGAGACGCGGCCCAGACUCCUACGGGAGGCAGCAGUGGGGAAUAUUGGACAAUGGGGGGAACCCUGAUCCAGCCAUGCCGCGUGUGUGAAGAAGGCCUUAUGGUUGUAAAGCACUUUAAGCGAGGAGGAGGCUCUUUUGGUUAAUACCCAAGAUGAGCGGACGUUACUCGCAGAAUAAGCACCGGCUAACUCUGUGCCAGCAGCCGCCGCGG
RNAcentral lists this ribosomal RNA (503 nucleotides) under uncultured bacterium. Its description in RNAcentral is "partial 16S ribosomal RNA". It matches the Rfam family "Bacterial small subunit ribosomal RNA", at positions 30 to 523 of the family's 1533-position model. The record is from RNAcentral.